Molecule: ribosomal RNA, 487 nt
Filed under: uncultured bacterium
Lineage: Bacteria
Description: bacterial SSU rRNA
Rfam family: Bacterial small subunit ribosomal RNA
Source: RNAcentral
GCGGCGUGCCUAUCAUGCNAGUCGAGCGGACUCCUUCGGGAGUGAGCGGCGGACGGGUGAGGAACACGUGGGGAAUCUGCCUAACAGACCGGAAUAACGCCUGGAAACGGGUGCUAAGGCCGGAUAGGCGCAUGAGGCGCAUGCCUGAUGCGGGAAAGGAUGCUAUGGCAUCGCUGAGAGAGGACCCCGCGGCGCAUUAGCUAGUUGGUAGGGUAAAGGCCUACCAAGGCGACGAUGCGUAGCCGACCUGAGAGGGUGACCGGCCACACUGGGACUGAGACACGGCCCAGACUCCUACGGGAGGCAGCAGUAGGGAAUCUUCCGCAAUGGGCGCAAGCCUGACGGAGCAACGCCGCGUGAGCGAGGAAGGCCUUCGGAUUGUAAAGCUCUGUCAUGCGGGACGAGCGACAAGGAGAGGGCAUGCUCCUUGAGAGACGGUACCGCAGGAGGAAGCCCCGGCUAACUACGUGCCAGCAGCCGCGGUAAU